RNAcentral lists this microRNA precursor (70 nucleotides) under Human gammaherpesvirus 8. RNAcentral describes it as "miRNA K12-10a". The record is from RNAcentral. Lineage: Duplodnaviria; Heunggongvirae; Peploviricota; Herviviricetes; Herpesvirales; Orthoherpesviridae.
CAAGUGGUGGAUAUAGAACCACCUUUCAUGGCAGUACAUUGCAGCAUGUGCCACAUGUUCAAAAGCAAUA